This 253-nucleotide ribosomal RNA is filed under the name uncultured bacterium. Its description in RNAcentral is "partial 16S ribosomal RNA". It matches the Rfam family "Bacterial small subunit ribosomal RNA", at positions 524 to 776 of the family's 1533-position model. The record is from RNAcentral.
UACGUAGGUGGCAAGCGUUAUCCGGAUUUAUUGGGUGUAAAGGGCGUGUAGGCGGGAGCGCAAGUCAGAUGUGAAAACUCAGGGCUCAACCCUGAGCCUGCAUUUGAAACUGUGUUUCUUGAGUGCUGGAGAGGCAAUCGGAAUUCCGUGUGUAGCGGUGAAAUGCGUAGAUAUACGGAAGAACACCAGUGGCGAAGGCGGAUUGCUGGACAGUAACUGACGCUGAGGCGCGAAAGCGUGGGGAGCAAACAGG